Long non-coding RNA from Populus euphratica (Euphrates poplar), 992 nucleotides. RefSeq lists it as uncharacterized. NCBI's taxonomy places the organism in Eukaryota, Viridiplantae, Streptophyta, Magnoliopsida, Malpighiales, Salicaceae. The transcript has 2 exons. The record is from RefSeq and is a predicted model, not a curated record.
UCCAGCCCGCUGUCUUAGGUUUAAAGCGGGCAUUUUAAAGUUGCAAAAACCCACUGGUUUGCAUCCAUACUGAGAGUUCUCCAAGAUUUGGCGCUUCUGUGUGCUGCCAGCGUUGGUUGGUUCUUAAACUUGAAAGCAGAUAACUUAAGUAGCGUGUCCAGGCUGAAAGAAGCUGCUUGCACUCAUAACCUCCAAAAUCUUGGGGGAUAUUAGGGAACCGCUGGGAGAAAACUGAGCCUUAACUUCUUCUCCUCAUAGGGGAUACUAGGGUAAACUGUACUCGCAAGAAUUACUAAGAAAGUAAUAACUUGAUCAUCAGCUUCUAAAGGCUCUCUAAGAACGAAUUUUGACUUGCUUACCAGGCUACAGCCGGGCUAAUUAUAGUACUUAUCGCCUAGGGCUGGCUGCUAUUUUUCCUCUACUUUUGGAGGUGGGGUGGAUUUACUGCUGUAAUGUAGUUACUCUAGCUUCCAUUGUAUUUUCGCGAAUGGACUAAAAUUACAAUUUCGUAUGCCCCCAAGACGUCCUUAUUGAUGACUUCACUCAUUUCUGAAUAUGCUUCACAGGUGACAUGACCCACUUGAAAGGAGCAGAUAGCGGCUGCUUUGUGGUUUUUGGCUAGCCAGAGUUUAAAUGUGGUGGCUCGCUAAUAUGAACAAAUACAUGUGGUGGUGGACCAUUGAUGAUUGCUGGUCGUUUCUUGCUUAUCAACCGAAUUUGCUUUCUAUAGCUGUAAAGGUUAUCACGACCACGAGUUUCUUUUAAAGAUCUCAUUCUUUCUUGCUCUUUUCUUCUUUUGUUUCUUUCUUGAGCUUUUCACAUGCCACAGAUAAUGGUUUUUGCCUCAAAAUGAAGACUACUGUCUGGCUUGUAAGGCAUUGUUAACAUAUCAGCUGAGGUGAAGGUAGUGGAACCUCUGGGAGUGCCCUUUUUGGGUGUUUCUUUCUUUCCUUGUGGUGUAACUAUUGAUCAUGAUCUGGUUCGUUAACACU